UUUACCCAUACCCAACAGCCUUAUUGGAAGGACUAUACACAAUUUUCAUGGCCUUUAAACCAAGAGAAGACAUACCUGAGCAAUUGAACCAGAAGGGAUGAGCCCCACCUGGAUCUGAUGCAGAUUAAAAUAUCUUGGACCUUGGGCCUGAGCUUGGAAUGGAAUGAGACCUUUGAGGAUCUUAGUGGGGAGUAAGUAUGUUUUGCAAAAGGGAGAAAUGGAAAUAAUUUGUGCUGAGAAGUUGGACUAUGGCAGCUUGAGGUCAGUGAAGACAUCACUACACAAGCUUUGGUACUCCUGCCAUUAAGACAUAAAGACAGUUUUCUUUCCCUUUAAAUCAAAACAGGCUUGGAAUGUUUUAACCAAUAGAGUAUGCCAGAAGUGACCCAUAGAAUGUGACGGAAGUGACCUCAUGUGACUUUUGAGCCUAGAUCAUAAAAAACCAUGAAGCUUAUGCCAUGUUCCAUGGGUUGUACCAAUAAGAGCCCUGAUCUACUAGAUAAGCCUCCUGGGGAUGCCAUGUACUUUUUUCUUAUACGUUACAAUUGUCUUAAGGAAAGGGUGAUGCCAAUUAUAACAUGACACAGCGAUUUUUGAAAAUGUUUUGCAC
Molecule: long non-coding RNA, 610 nt
Filed under: Homo sapiens (human)
Lineage: Eukaryota; Metazoa; Chordata; Mammalia; Primates; Hominidae
Description: HSALNT0158789
Source: RNAcentral